Molecule: non-coding RNA, 2399 nt
Organism: Misgurnus anguillicaudatus (oriental weatherfish)
Lineage: Eukaryota; Metazoa; Chordata; Actinopteri; Cypriniformes; Cobitidae
Source: RefSeq, a predicted model, not a curated record
GUAAAACAUUAUAGCCUCAUUAAGUUAUGUGUACUAACAUUUGCUAUUUAGUUCUACUACACACAGCAAGUUUUAGAUAUUCAACCCAAGUCUGUAAGUUUUCACAAAGUUAAACUUAAAGUUACAUAUUGUCUUAACUACUUGUGAGUUGUCUCUGUGAUGUGAAUGUUCAUUUAACUAACUUCUGUAAGUUAUGAAUCACAACGAGAGGGAGGGGUCGUGUCCAGAAAAGACCGGGAAAAUUUCAGUUAACUUUACCUCAGACACAGCGCUCAUCUGAAAUGACCAAUAAUACAUUUUUUUUGCAAGGCUGCAAAGGAGGUAUGUAUGAUUUUUUUUGUCUUGAUGUAAUAAAGAUGCCCUUUAUACAUUUUUAGAUAAAAAUAUUGAGUUUAAAGUAAAGAAAAUAUGCAGACAUCGAGCCUGCUUUGCGAAUGCGUCGUCGUCAGGAUAUUUAUCUGCUUUCACAUCGAAGCAUCAAAUGUUAAAAGAGUUUAAUACACCAUGGGGACAAUUUUGGAUAUUUCAAUUGGUUGUGCGUAACGUUAUAUCGAUUAUUUUGAUUAUAAAUAUAGCUUACAGUUUAACAUUUAAGCUUAACAGAUUUGUUUGUUCACUGUCAAUGUGAAUUAAUCACGGGCUGAGUCUUAAGCGUUUAAGAAACGGGUAAUGUAUUAUUGUGAUGCUUGAAAGAUUUUUAUCCUCGUGCGAUUAAGGGCACGAGGGGAAUAUGCGUUGAAAUGAACGCAAAUAGUGUCUAAUAAGUGUUCGAGGAUCUGUUCGUCUGACAUAAAGGCCAUAAAAAACCUUUAAAUAGAUUUAUAUCUCUCAGUCACUUAACAAGUGGACACAAUAUCUGUUCGUUUCCACAGAAUUAUGUGUUUAAGUCUAGCAGGGCAGCCAUUUCAGGCUACUGCGCACGCGCAUAGGUUUGCAACCUCUCGCCAGAGAAUCCCCUUUACAUGUUGUUGAUGGACGCACGUGUUUGCUGAACAUACAGGACACCAUAUGAUUAAAAACUGCCUCCCUAUCUUGUCAUAAAUAACAGGUAUUUGCAUGAUUUUUACCAUUUUAUAAUCUGUAUGUCGUAUUUUUGGUAUUUUGUACAAGAGUACUAAGUAUUUUGAUCAUAGCGAUUACAGUGGUGUAAGUUACCGGAUCGCAGACGACCAUAGACUGUAAAAAAUAGAUCACGACCCACGGUUCGGCUCCCAUGCGAUUCGCGGAUUAAUAUCUAUACAAAGUUUGUCAUUUGCAUGUUUAUUAAAGUCUUGCAAAUGUUAACACUCAAGUGAUUUUUAAACAAUUUAACCACAAAAGUCUGUUUUUACUUUUUACAGUCUCGUUUUGUCACUCUGCAUCUUGUGGCUGAUAAGCUAUUGAAGAAGAGCUGUCCAUCACUUUAUGGACAUUCAAGUUAACAUAAGUCCGCUUUUACUACUUUGUCUCGUUUGGUCACUCUGCAUCUGUGUGGCUGCAUAGAAGAAGAGCUGCUCAUCACUUUGACGACAUUCAAGUUAACAUAAGCAGUUGGUGCAUUAAGAUACCUCUCAGAGUUAUUGUGUCAUCUCAAGAAAUAAGGUGUGUCACCCUAGAGAGUUUUCCUGAGUCAGUCAAGGAGCUAUGUGUGACAUGGUGCAUCAUUCUGGGCUUGCAAGGAAACUUUCUUCUACACUUUGAGGAUCCAGACUUUGGAAAUGAGCACUGCAAUUUCACCGAUAUUAAAGAUCUACCAUCAGAUCGAGUGACACUGAAAGUUUUGUUGACAGCUUCUGGUUCGGUUUCUGACUUUGCAUUACAAUUACUACUAGUGCCUCAUCAGUGGAAUGGCCUGAUCCUUUUGUUAUUCCUGAUUUCUCUCAUGAUGUUGAACUUCAGUUGAGCGCUGCAAAUGAUGCCUAUGCCAGGGAUGGAACAGUAAUGGUCAUUUCCAAUGGUGUUAAAUACUAGACAAACCAGCUGAUGUGAAAUGUUGACUGUUUCCAAGGUCCAUCGGUUUAUUUUGUAAAAGACUUUCUUAGCGACUGGGUAUUAACAAAAAAGGUUUGGUGAUAGUUAUAUUGCAUUAAUUGUUCUUUAAAAAAAACUAACUCUAAAAUACGUGGCUUUUAAAAUAAUAAUAAUAAUACUAAUAAUUUGAAAAUUAACAGUGCAAAACUAUUUUUAUCAUAUUUGAGUUUUUAUCAGUAAAAGAAACAUUACACAUACCUGUAUCUAUUAUUACAACUAUGGUGUUGAUUUCACAGUUUAAAAACAUUAAAGAAACCCAUAUAAUAUUUAAAUGAAAUUUGUUUUUAAUAAACAUUUGUAAUAUUCAUUUUUAACAAAAAUGCUUUUCCAAGCCAAUGUUACAAAUUGUUCUUGUGCAAAUAAAUAGUUUUUGAGCUAAUAAUUUGCAA